Molecule: long non-coding RNA, 3289 nt
Filed under: Solanum tuberosum (potato)
Lineage: Eukaryota; Viridiplantae; Streptophyta; Magnoliopsida; Solanales; Solanaceae
Description: long non-coding RNA (STUB_LNC007468)
Source: RNAcentral
UAUUUGAAGUGUCAUAUUGAAGUUACUUUUCCGUUGUCAACUAUAAUCCAAGCAAUUUGGGAGAAAAUAAAUGCAUUUCCUAAAGGGUGUUUCAUGUCUUACCUUCUCUUGUGUUUAUAGACAAUUAUGUAGGAAAUAUAGAAGGAGAAUACUAUGAAUGCUCAAGUUUUAUAUAGGCUAUUUAAGGCCACUUGAGAUGAUUACAAUCAUAAACUAUAUCUCUAUUUAUACUACUAAUAAUGUAAAUCAAAGGUCUUGUACAAAUAACUAAAUACUUGUAUACAAACUCAUAAAAGACUUCUUGAAAAACUAAGAGACAAUAUUGGAAGACUAAAUAUCAAGGUGUGAAUGCAUUAAUUCUAACACUCUCUCUUAAUGCAUUUGUUUGACAACUACAAUGUCUUCUCAAAGAUAGCAAAACUUUUCUCUUGGAAGUGAUUUGGUGAAGAUGUCAGCAAGUUGUUCUCCCGUCUGACAAUAGUUGCAAUUGGAUUUUGCCUUUCUCUUGUGAUUUUGAAUAUCUCCUUCCUGUUGAGUUUGAUUUUGUAAAUCCAUUUUAGACUUGCAACUUCUCUUUCUUUGGGUAUAGUCACACACUCCCAAGUAUUAUUUUUCUCAAUCAUCUGAAUUUCUUCUGCCAUGGACUUCUUCCAAACAUCAUGCUUUAUUGUCUUGUUCAACACCGGCAAGGUUGUAUCUUUGAUAAAUGUCAGUCAACAUUUUUGUUCCUCAUGGAGGUGGUUCUUCAUCAGCUGAAUUUGAGAUUUCUCCCUCUUGAGAGACAUCUUACUCUUCCUCAUCCUCUUCUUGAUUUGACACAUCUAAAGAUAGGAUAGAAAUAUUAUCUACCUUAAUUUCAGUAUGUAUCUCAGGAAGGCCUUGCACCAUGUCUUUUUGCUUGAGAAGCUUCAAACCAUGAAAAUUCAAGUGACAAAAUCUUUUGUGCCAAAGUCAUGAAUCAUCUACAACUUCAUUUUUGAAUGCAUUGUAAUGAAAUUGUAAAGGAAAUUUUCUUUUUAUCAUCUCUACUUCAACAAUGACUUGAUUUGACUCAAUUUUAUCAUAAAUUUUGCAAUAAUUAUCUUUAAACACAAGAGAAUAACCAUUUUCCAUGAAUUGACCAACACUAAGCAAAUUUUCUUCCAAGUCAGGAACAUAAAACACAUCAUGAAUUUGCUUACCGCUCCUUUUAUGUUGAUCGAAAUGGUACCUUUCCCUUUUGCAUGAACUAAGCCUCCAUUUCCCAUUCUCACUUUAGUAGUUAUGCAACUAUCAAUUGAGAGGAAAUCAUUUUCAUCUCCAGUCAUGUGAUUGCUGCAACCACUAUCAACAUAUCAUUUAUUGCUUUUCACUGAAGCAUCAGAUUGAGAAAAAGAAAAGGUUUUCUUCCUUUUCUUCCUCCUGUUCUUCACAAAAACUUGCUUGCUCAUGUUGCUUGUGCCAGCAAUCCUUCUCAAUGUGGCCAAACUUUUUACAAAAGUUACAUUGGAGCUUGCCUUUGUGCCAACUUUUUUUUGCAUUGUGAUUAGUCCUUUUGCAAAUUUUACAAAAAAGACUAAAACUUUUCUCACCUUUUUCUUCAAUCUUAUUAGAAGAACCAUCAUGAUCCUGCUUCUUUUUUGGAUUGUAAUUCUUCUUUUGCUGAUUUUUUGAGAAAUUUUGAGAAUUCUCAUUGGUUUUGGACUGGAAGGCCGUCUCUUUGGGUUGAUCUUCACGAAAAAAUCUUCGCUUCUCGUGUGCACGAAAUGAUUCAACUAGCUCUUUGAUGGAAAGCUUAAUUAGAAAGAUCUUUCGUCUCCUCAGUGAUAACAACAAUAUACUCAUAUUUCUCUGUGACACUAAUUAGAAUAUUUUCCACAACUUGUUGGUCAGAAAUUGUAUCACCAUGAUUUCUCAUUUAAUUUACAAUAUUCAUGACUUUUGUGCAAUAUUCAUCUAUUUUUUCAGAUUCUAUCAUCUUCAAAUUUUGGAACUCUCUUAUAAGAGUUUGAAGAUUUAUAGUGCGUACCUUUUCGUCACCCUACACUUCGGUUUCCAAAGACCUUGUAGUCUCACAAGUAGCAAUUUUUGCAAAAUAUGUUCUUGAGACUCCCAUUUAGAUUUUGCUCAAGGCUUUUGCGUCUUGACGGUACUUAGUCUCAAGAUUUUUCAUCUCUGCUAUUGUAAGUUCACCAUCAUUUUCUAGCUCUUCAUAGCCAUUUACAACAGUAGUCCACAAACCUCCAGCUUUCAAACGCAUUCUCAUUCUUAUCUUCUAGUAAUAUUCAAAAUCAGCUCCAUAAAAAAUGGAGUAAGAACAACUGAAGAAUCUACACCUUCAUUUAUUUUGGAUGUCAUAUUUAUUUCUUCACCUAACCCCAGAUUAAGAACGAAAACCUGCUAUGAUACCAAUUUGUAGGAAAUAUAGAAGGAUAAUACUAUCUUUAGAGAAUGCUCAAGUUUUAUAUAGGCUACUUAAGGACACUUGAGAUGAUUACAAUGAUAAACUACAUCUCUAUUUAUACUACUAAUAAUGUAAAUCAAAGGUCUUGCACAAAUAACUAGAUACAUGUAUCACAAUUUAUUAGAUACAUGUAUUACAAAUUCCUAAAAGACUUCUUGAAAAACUAAGAGACAAUAUUGAAAGACUAAAUAUCAAGGUGUGAAUGCAUUAAUUCCAACAAAUUAAUAUGUUUUGAUGUUAAUAUAUUAAUCCAUAGUAUUAAAGAACUUAGGAGAAGAGGAAAAAUCUACAAAACAAUAUCAGCCCGCUAAAGCCCUCUCAGAUCUCCUCACGACCUCCCAACGAAUGUCGUAAUGGAGGAAAUCAAAAUUUUUGACACCAAAUAAUCAAAAAAGAACAUGCAUGUUUAUGCAGAAUCAAGUAAGAAAAGAUUCAAAGUACAAGAAAAUUUGUAGCAACGAAAAACGUUAUGUACCCAAUGAAAAUAUACGUACACUGUCAAGUUUUAUCUCUAGCUGAACCAUAUGUUGCAUCUGCACCACUAAGUAUUCUGUUAAAGAAAUUAUUUAAAUGUUUGACAUGUUGGCCCAGUGCCUACCUUCUAGUUGUCUUAGAACCUCCUGACUUGUAUUGCCAUAUUUUGGGGCUAAUUUGGUGUUUUCACACCAUUUCUAAAACUUUCAUCUUUUGAAGUUACUAUUGGAUUUAUUUACAUAUCUUAAAUUUCAUGUUUUGUUUUGAAAAAUGAUUUUAGGGUUUGCCAAACGGGUUGGGGUUAGGUGUCAUCACGAUAAGAAAAAUUAUUGGGUCAUGACAUCACCAAUCAUAAGAAAAUUGCAUCAAAUC